Molecule: ribosomal RNA, 325 nt
Filed under: uncultured eukaryote
Lineage: Eukaryota
Description: partial 18S ribosomal RNA
Rfam family: Eukaryotic small subunit ribosomal RNA
Source: RNAcentral
CCCUUAGAUGUUCUGGGCCGCACGCGCGCUACACUGAUGCAUUCAACGAGCCUAUCCUUGACCGACAGGUCCGGGUAAUCUUUGAAUCUGCAUCGUGACGGGGAUAGAUUAUUGCAACUAUUAAUCUUCAACGAGGAAUGCCUAGUAGGCGCAAGUCAUCAGCUUGCGUCGAUUACGUCCCUGCCCUUUGUACACACCGCCCGUCGCUCCUACCGAUUGGGUGUGCUGGUGAAAUGUUCGGAUCGGCCGUUUGUCGCGGUUUCCGCGUCAUGUGGCUGAGAAGUUCAUUAAACCCUCCCACCUAGAGGAAGGAGAAGUCGUAACA